Molecule: non-coding RNA, 137 nt
Organism: Caenorhabditis elegans
Lineage: Eukaryota; Metazoa; Nematoda; Chromadorea; Rhabditida; Rhabditidae
Source: Ensembl
CACCCCAUAAAUCCCUCUCAAAUGUGCCAAUUUUAUCGGCCACAAAGUAUCAAAUUCUGGUGGUCUCCAUCUCUAUCCAGCGUAUCCCAUUCUUUGCCUAAAUCUCUCUCAAUUCAGCACUAUUUCGUGAUUCUCAA